CAAAUUACCCACUCCCGGCACGGGGAGGUAGUGACGAAAAAUAACGAUACGGGACUCAUCCGAGGCCCCGUAAUCGGAAUGAGCACACUCUAAACACGUUUCCGAAAAUCAAUUGGAGGGUAAGUCUGGUGCCAGCAGCCGCGGUAAGACCAGCUCCAAUAGCGUAUAUUAAAGUUGUUGCGGUUAAAAAGCUCGUAGUCGAAUUUGUGUCCCGCGCCGCUGGUUCAUCGCUCGCGGUGUUCAACUGGCGUGUCUCGCGGGACGUCCUGCCGGUGGGAUACUGGGUCUAAUGGCUCAGUCCCUACUCGCCACCGCCUUGCGCGGUGUCCGAAUCCCAUCGCGGUGCUCUUUAUUGAGUGUCGAGGUGGGCCGGCACAUUUACUUUGAACAAAUUAGAGUGCUUAAAGCAGGCCAGUUUUGCCUGAAUAUUCUGUGCAUGGAAUAAUGGAAGAGGACCUCGGUUCUAUUUUGUUGGUUUUCGGAACCCCGAGGUAAUGAUUAAUAGGAACGGAUGGGGGCAUUCGUAUUGCGACGUUAGAGGUGAAAUUCUUGGAUCGUCGCAGGACGGACAGAAGCGAAAGCAUUUGCCAAAAACGCUUUCAUUGAUCAAGAACGAAAGUUAGAGGUCCGAAGGCGAUCAGAUACCGCCCUAGUUCUAACCAUAAACGAUGCCAGCUAGCGAUCCGCCGACGUUCCUCCGAUGACUCGGCGGGCAGCUUCCGGGAAACCAAAGCUUUUGGGUUCCGGGGGAAGUAUGGUUGCAAAGCUGAAACUUAAAGGAAUUGACGGAAGGGCACCACCAGGAGUGGAGCCUGCGGCUUAAUUUGACUCAACACGGGGAAUCUGACCAGGCCCGGACACCGGAAGGAUUGACAGAUUGAGAGCUCUUUCUUGAUUCGGUGGGUGGUGGUGCAUGGCCGUUCUUAGUUG
Molecule: ribosomal RNA, 930 nt
Filed under: Drusilla canaliculata
Lineage: Eukaryota; Metazoa; Arthropoda; Insecta; Coleoptera; Staphylinidae
Description: SSU rRNA
Rfam family: Eukaryotic small subunit ribosomal RNA
Source: RNAcentral